This 489-nucleotide ribosomal RNA is filed under the name uncultured bacterium. RNAcentral's name for it is "partial 16S ribosomal RNA". It matches the Rfam family "Bacterial small subunit ribosomal RNA", at positions 28 to 507 of the family's 1533-position model. The record is from RNAcentral.
GAUGAACGCUAGCUACAGGCUUAACACAUGCAAGUCGAGGGGCAGCAUGAUUGAAGCUUGCUUCAAUCGAUGGCGACCGGCGCACGGGUGAGUAACACGUAUCCAACCUGCCGAUAACUCGGGGAUAGCCUUUCGAAAGAAAGAUUAAUACCCGAUAGUAUAGUAUUUCCGCAUGGUUUCACUAUUAAAGAACUUCGGUUAUCGAUGGGGAUGCGUUCCAUUAGAUAGUUGGCGGGGUAACGGCCCACCAAGUCAACGAUGGAUAGGGGUUCUGAGAGGAAGGUCCCCCACCUUGGAACUGAGACACGGUCCAAACUCCUACGGGAGGCAGCAGUGAGGAAUAUUGGUCGAUGGACGAGAGUCUGAACCAGCCAAGUAGCGUGAAGGAUGACUGCCCUAUGGGUUGUAAACUUCUUUUAUACGGGAAUAAAGUGGAGUAUGCAUACUCCUUUGUAUGUACCGUAUGAAUAAGGAUCGGCUAACUCCGUG